This 460-nucleotide ribosomal RNA is filed under the name uncultured bacterium. RNAcentral describes it as "partial 16S ribosomal RNA". It matches the Rfam family "Bacterial small subunit ribosomal RNA", at positions 338 to 795 of the family's 1533-position model. The record is from RNAcentral.
CCUACGGGAGGCAGCAGUGAGGAAUAUUCGUCAAUGAGCGCGAGCCUGAACCAGCCAAGUAGCGUGAAGGAUGACUGCCCUACGGUUUGUAAGCUUCUUUUAUAAAGGAGUAAAGUGAGACACGGGUGCCUUUUUAUAUGUACUUUAUCAAUAAGGAUCGGGUAGCUCCGUGCCAUCAGCCGCGGUAAUGCGGAGGAUCCGUGCGGUAUCCGGAUUUAUUGGGUUUAAAGGGAGCGUAGAUGUGUUGUUAAGUCAGUUGUGAAAGUUUGCGGCUCAACCGUAAAAUUGCAAGUGAUACUGGCAGUCUUGAGUACAGUGGAGGUAGGCGGAAUUCGUGGUGUAGCGGUGAAAUGCGUAGAUAUCACGAAGAACACCGAGUGCGAAGGCAGCUUACUAAAUUGCUACUGACAUUGAGGCUCGAAAGUGUGGGUAGCAAACAGGAUUAGAUACCCCUGUAGUC